RNAcentral lists this ribosomal RNA (301 nucleotides) under uncultured bacterium. RNAcentral's name for it is "partial 16S ribosomal RNA". It matches the Rfam family "Bacterial small subunit ribosomal RNA", at positions 509 to 807 of the family's 1533-position model. The record is from RNAcentral.
CAGUAGCCACGGUAAAACGGAGGGGGCUAGCGUUGUUCAGAAUUACUGGGCGUAAAGCGCACGUAGGCGGCUUGACAAAUCUUGUGUGAAAUCUAUGGGCUCAACCCAUAGUCUGCACGGGAAACUGUCGGGCUUGAGAAUGGGAGAGGUGAGUGGAAUUUCCGGUGUAGCGGUGAAAUGCGUAGAUAUCGGAAGGAACACCUGUGGCGAAAGCGGCUCACUGGACCAUUUCUGACGCUGAGGCGCGAAAGCGUGGGGAGCAAACAGGAUUAGAUACCCGUGUAGUCCCUGUCUCUUAUAC